RNAcentral lists this ribosomal RNA (553 nucleotides) under uncultured Nitrososphaerota archaeon. RNAcentral describes it as "bacterial SSU rRNA". It matches the Rfam family "Archaeal small subunit ribosomal RNA", at positions 325 to 879 of the family's 1478-position model. The record is from RNAcentral. Lineage: Archaea; Thermoproteati; Nitrososphaerota.
ACGGGGCGCAGCAGGCGCGAAACCUUUGCAAUGUGCGCAAGCACGACAAGGUUAAUCCGAGUGUUUCCUGCUAAAGGAAUCUUUUGUUAGUCGUAAAACCACUGAUGAAUAAGGGGUGGGCAAGUUCUGGUGUCAGCCGCCGCGGUAAAACCAGCACCUCAAGUGGUCAGGAGGAUUAUUGGGCCUAAAGCAUCCGUAGCCGGCUCUGCAAGUUUUCGGUUAAAUCCAUUUGCUUAACAAAUGGGCUGCCGAAAAUACUACAUAGCUAGGGAGUGGGAGAGGUAGACGGUAUUCGGUAGGAAGGGGUAAAAUCCUUUGAUCUAUUGAGGACCACCUAUGGCGAAGGCAGUCUACCAGAACACGUUCGGCGGUGAGGGAUGAAAGCUGGGGGAGCAAACCGGAUUAGAUACCCGGGUAGUCCCAGCUGUAGACGAUGCAGACUCGGUGAUGCACUGGCUUGUGGCCAGUGCAGUGCCGCAGGGAAGCCGUUAAGUUUGCCGCCUGGGAAGUACGUACGCAAGUAUGAAACUUAAAGGAAUUGGCGCGGGAGCAC